UGCUUCAACCUCAUUUGUAUUCUCUAGGGCACUGAAGGAGGAGUUGCAGGAGAACUACCUCCAGUUCCAUCUUAUGCUACACCUCUUCGACCCACUGCCAAUUUAGUGCAAUAUGAAAGAAUGGAGACUGAUGUUUGAAUGAUCAUUACACACAGGUCCCUCUCUCCUUUCUCUCUCCUCCCUUCAUUCCUCAAUUAGACAAAUCUUAAUACAUUACACUCACUUAUUUUAAUAGCAUGCCUCUCACACACUCUUGUAGACAUCGUUUUAUUUUGCUUAUAAAGCUCUAUUAUAAAAAUGAA
Long non-coding RNA from Amphimedon queenslandica, 302 nucleotides. RefSeq lists it as uncharacterized. The record is from RefSeq and is a predicted model, not a curated record. Lineage: Eukaryota; Metazoa; Porifera; Demospongiae; Haplosclerida; Niphatidae. The transcript is spliced from 2 exons.